AUUCAAAGAAAAGCCAUGAUAAAAGAGAAAGUAAAACAGAUGCAGACCUAGACUGUAUAGGAUAUGUUGGGGUUAUGCAGGCAUUCUCUUGUGUUUUAAAACCAUGAUGGAGAAUCAGCUAGCCUCAAUCAGCUAGUCCUGGAGUUAAAGAAACCCAAGUCCAAAUAUUGCCUGAGUUUCUUAGGAGUUGGUCAACUUUGACAACAGUUACUUAGUGCUAGCAGACAACCAGCCAAAGAAUAAUAUCAUAUGAGAAAACAUGAAGGGAUUGCAGUCUGCGCUAGUAGAGGAAGGACUCGUAUGUUCACAGAUCCAUAGAAGAAUCAAACUUGAGAGAGAAUACAUUGUGUUGGAUGAAGAGAAGACAAAUUUAAAUCAAAGGAGGAACAAUAGGAGAACUAAUUUCUAAGUAAAACUGGAGAUUUUGAAACUGUGAAGGCCUUGGCAUUUUUUUUCUGGGGGGAGAGAAAUUUGAAAAGCUUGACACAAUUAAGGAAAAGAAGAAGGAUCAUGGAUAAAAGAAAAAAAUACUGAAACUAAAGUAAAUAUAUCCCAAUAUGCUGAGAAGGAUUUGUAUAGGAUGAUAUGAGUUGGGGGACAGAAAGAGAACUUAGGCUGAGACUGUACCAGAGAAGGAAGAGCAGAAUAAAAAAGAGAAAGUAUUAACAUGGAUGCUGGCAAGCUGGAUAAUGACAAGAGAAGAAAAACCAAGAUGGCAAAGGAGCACAACUUGAAAUGG
Molecule: long non-coding RNA, 739 nt
Organism: Sarcophilus harrisii (Tasmanian devil)
Lineage: Eukaryota; Metazoa; Chordata; Mammalia; Dasyuromorphia; Dasyuridae
Exons: 3
Source: RefSeq, a predicted model, not a curated record